GGAUUAGAUACCCUGGUAGUCCAUGCCGUAAACGGUGGGCGCUAGGUGUGAGUCCCUUCCACGGGGUUCGUGCCGUAGCUAACGCAUUAAGCGCCCCGCCUGGGGAGUACGGCCGCAAGGCUAAAACUCAAAGGAAUUGACGGGGGCCCGCACAAGCGGCGGAGCAUGUGGAUUAAUUCGAUGCAACGCGAAGAACCUUACCUGGGCUUGACAUACACCAGAUCGCCGUAGAGAUACGGUUUCCCUUUGUGGUUGGUGUACAGGUGGUGCAUGGUUGUCGUCAGCUCGUGCCG
Molecule: ribosomal RNA, 293 nt
Filed under: uncultured bacterium
Lineage: Bacteria
Description: partial 16S ribosomal RNA
Rfam family: Bacterial small subunit ribosomal RNA
Source: RNAcentral